ACGUUGCUAUUUAUGAUCGGUUUGCAUGCGUGGGUGGAUUGUUUGGUGUUGUGCCAUUCGCUGCCCCGUUUUAGUAUCUGCACCGCAGAGUUGAGAGUUCAGAAUAACAGUUGUGAGGAACACAUGGAUCACUGUGUAUUUUGCUUUUUAAAGAUUUGCAAUUUCGGUGUGUGUUUUGUAUACGAAGUUGUGGAUCAAGUAAUUUAAUCAAGUCCAUUAUUUGAGCCAAUGGAAUUACUGCAGAUGUUGGCUUUUUUGGCUUGAUCUUGUUCUACUGUGUGCUGCGUGCGUUUAGUUCAUGUUUUGCCUAAUGUUAUAGGCUUGCUUUUACCUUCAUUUUCUUUUAAGUUUUUGGUUCAUGUAAUAACUGUGUGGUGGUUUUUUAAUGGAAAAAUGCUACAUCGACGGGCUCUUUACGGGGUUUUCAACGGACUCUCCCAAACUAAACUUGCCCCCCCCCCCCUCCCCUCCCUCUCAUUUUCAGGAAGGCAGGGCCCCUCUCCCCCUUANNNNNNNNNNNNNNNNNNNNNNNNNNNNNNNNNNNNNNNNNNNNNNNNNNNNNNNNNNNNNNNNNNNNNNNNNNNNNNNNNNNNNNNNNNNNNNNNNNNNNNNNNNNNNNNNNNNNNNNNNNNNNNNNNNNNNNNNNNNNNNNNNNNNNNNNNNNNNNNNNNNNNNNNNNNNNNNNNNNNNNNNNNNNNNNNNNNNNNNNNNNNNNNNNNNNNNNNNNNNNNNNNNNNNNNNNNNNNNNNNNNNNNNNNNNNNNNNNNNNNNNNNNNNNNNNNNNNNNNNNNNNNNNNNNNNNNNNNNNNNNNNNNNNNNNNNNNNNNNNNNNNNNNNNNNNNNNAAAAAUUCCCCGUAAAACAUUCGUAAUGGUUCGUUGAUGUAGCAUUGCUCGAAAAAUGGUUUUACCAUUGUGUAGUCGUGUGAGACCAUCAUUUACUUUCAGCCGGUUUUCAGAUCUAUGGACUCAAACUCAAGAGGACUUCAGGCAGGUGUGCAAUUGGAUCUGUCAUGAACAACUCAUGGCAUUCAUGUCAAAAACAAAAUUGCAGCUACCAGGGAUCAUGCAUUCAUACUGCCCCUUCUGCUUUGACUUCUUUCAGCCUAAGCAGGAGGUGAACUGGGCCAUGGCCCGGUCCAGCUGAAGUACAUAAGGGGGCAUAUUUGGCUCGGACCGCUGAAGACCAAACAAUCAGUAGCACUUAGGCAGGAGAGAACCUGCUUAGUCAGGUACAUGGAUUUACACAGGUAAAGUUUGAACAAUGCUUUAGAGAAGAUAACGAGGUAGCUCAUGUAUAGCUAAACAUAGUUUUUUUUUGUGUGAAAAGGAUCCAGAUUUACUCCCUCCAUUCCUAAAUAUAAGCCCUUUUAGAGUUUUCAAUAUGGACUACGUGCAGAGCAAAAUGAGUGAAUCUACAUUUAAAAUAUGUCUAUAUACAUCCUUAUGUAGUGUAUACUGAAAUCUCUAAAAAAGACAUGUAUUUAGGAACGGAGGGAGUAUUAUAAAGGUUCACCAGAAGUAAAAUUACAAAGCACCACAAACAUAAUAAAAAUUACAUUAAGGUCCAUUAAGCAUCGAACGACCACUGACCACCAGAACGAUCCGACGACGUGUCGUUGUCGUUGCUCCCAUACCGAAGCCGGCUUGACUUUGUCGAUCAUAGCUAGAAAGUCUUGGUGCACAUGCCCCUAAGGACCAGCGCCCCGGAUUUGCAAUCGUUGUUGUAGAUCCCUUGAAUCGAUCGGAAGAACCUAACAUCAAAUAUCAUCAUUGCGUACGCAUGCCGAUAAACCCUACCCUUGCCGACCCGAGGAGCAAACGAGAAUCUACGCCGGAGGUUUGUCGAUACGUCCCAACGGACAAACUCGAGAAGAAUCGAAGCCCGAAAGACCGGCUCGAAUAUGUAGCAUCGCCCAUAGGAGGACUAAAACCCCAACCUAUCUAUUAGCCGGAGUCGACCCAUGAGGAUUGCCCUCCUUGCAUCCGGUCAUCUGUGAGGUGGAGCACUUCUUUUCCUCUGGCAGGCUGAUCUGCCAGAGACUCAUCCCUCUGGGAAGGGGAAUUCGAAGCCAUCGUCAUCACUAACACUUCGAUCAUCAUUGGGACCAAUGCAUAUCCUGACUCGUUAAUGUGUCAGAAGGCCAACACAUCUAGUUAAUGGCAACAUUAUCAAGUGAACCAACAACUCAAAAAAAGAGUAAAGCAAAGCUACCCGAGCUAGCCAUCUGCACGCGUUGAUGGGCCAUGCCACGGGAGGCAGCGUGUGAGCAGAGCGCCGGUUGAUCCUAAUGCCGCACAAGGAGCCAACAAGGAGGAAGCUCAAGCUUUGGUUAAUCACAUGCUGUUCGACGAUAUUGAAUUUUAAUAAAGGGUGUGGCUAGGUCUCAAUCGGCUGAGAUUUAACACUAUCUCAGUCAAAUGACAUAACAUGCAAGAGAGAAAAAACUGAAAAAUAAAUUUUGCACAAAUCUUAAUAUAAGAUCCGACGGAUAUAACAUCGACUGAGACUUAACGAAGUCUUAGUGUCGAGUAAGACUUAACGAAGUAUCAGUCGACUAAGACUUAACAAGACAAAAAGUGGUUUUCCCAUAAUAGGAAAACUAGGACCGGCAGUAUGCAUAUGAUCUCUGGUAGCUACCAUUUGCUUCUAGAAAAAAAAGAGCUACCAUUUGCCUACGACGUGAAUGGCAUGAGUUGUCCAUGACAAAUCCAAUUGCACACUUUCCUCAGUUUCUCUUGAGUUUAAGUUCACGGAUCAGAAAAUUGACUGGAACUAAUGGCAAAAUCACAUUGUCCUUAUCAUAUCAAUCGUCUGGAACAGCUGCAGUGUACUUCGGUUGACAAAAUCGACUUGAUUUAAAUUACUUGAUUCAUAAAAACCUUUGUACUACAAGAGAACUCACCGAAAUUACAGAAGCAAACACACCAACCACACCCACACACUUGCCUGACACACACGCGUAGAGCUGUUAUUAUGAACUCUCAGACUGCAGUGCAGAUACUAAAAUGGGGCAGCGAAUGGCAGAAGACCAAACAAUGCACCCACCCAUGCAAACCGAUCAUAAAUAGCAACGUCGAUCACUCACUGUCGCUGGGCAGGAGUACAAUGGUAGACUGGACUCAGUGGUGUCCGUGGUAUCCACCGCCGCCGCCUCCGCCGUAGGUGGGGGUGGGAGGGACUGGGUGGUAGUCCGGGUGGGGCUGCGGCUUGGGCUCGGGCUUGGGCACGGGGCCGUAGUCCGGGUGGGGCUGGGGCUUGGGCUCCGGCUUCGGCGGCACAUGCUUCUUGUGGUGGAAGUGCUCGAUGAUGUGCUUCUUGAUCGGCCCGCAUAGGGUCAUGGACGCACACUCCGGCGAUGCGGCAGACGGCGUGGCGGCGUUCUCGCCAGCGACGACGCCGUACGUGGUGCCCUCGGACACCGGCACGAUCUUGGACGGCUCCUGGCCGGGGCAGGGCGCGUUGGAGACGGCGCUGUGGAGCUGAGCGACGCAGUCGGCGCCGUGGAGGUUGGCAGCCAGGGGCACGCUGAAGGCGCCGGUGCCGUCGAGGCCGCCCACCGCCUUGCUCUCGUACUCGCCGGCGCUGUUCUUGCACUUGAUCGCCACCUGCACAGCCUUGAAGGCUUCCUCGGUCUGCAUGUUCUUCCUGGUGCAGUCGGCGCACUUGGCCAGGCCGACGACGACUGACGCCGCCUCGGUGUUGGCGACGGCCAUCGCCAGCAGGACGCAGAGGGCGAGUGCUCUCGGAGUCGCCAUGCCUAAACUUGUGUGGAUCGCACUACUGCCACUUGCUGGUGUGAAGUGCCUGAUGGAUGAAUGGUGGAUGGAUGGAUGAGUGGAUGUAACAGGCGACGCAUGGCUUAUAUAGGCAUCGGCGUUGAUCGGCGCGGCAGAGCUCGAAUGCUCGACCGGCGUUGAUCUGUCUGCAAGCGCAGAAGAAGAAGGGUGGCCGGCGGGCGCAGUGAAGCGAGACAACGAGAGAUGAGCUAAUUCGCUUUCGGCGCGCCGAAGUUUCUGAUGGCGAAUUAAUAUCGGUCGUCGUUUCGAUCCACGUCAUUGUUCGGUUGGUGUUUUGAUGAUCGUUUUGUUUUUAAAAACAAAUACUUCAUCCGUUUAGGUGUGUAAGUCACCUUACGAAAAUCAGAUUUUCCCAAAACAUUUAGGCGCCGUUCAUUAAUUUCUCAUCUCGAUUCCCUCCCAGCCUUGUUCGCCAGCCAGCUUUGCCUCCUAUACCUCGUUAUCUUCCAGCGAAAACCCCUCCUCCCGUUUUUCUUUCUCAGACAAUGACCAAUGCAUGCAGCACCUCUAUGCGUUGAUUAGGCGAGAAAUCAAUGCGGCUUUGCAUGCUAGAAGUACGUGGGCAUGCAUGGUAGUUAAUAUGUCAUCCUCUUAAUUAUUGCGAUUAAAUGCUAUGUUUAGAAGAAGGAAAUCAACAUUUUGAUUGGAGUUUUGAUUGGAAGAAGGACCGGUCAAAAUUUUUCUUCUCCUCCAAUCAGCUUGUACCUAGGUUGUGAUGCACCUUCUAAUGUGACUUACACACUUAGACGGAGGGAGUACAAACACGCAUCUUUGGCGCGGAAGCUCGAAUCGUUCAGAAACUCACUACAGCAACAGCAGCACGUAGCAACUUCCAGUUCAAACCACGAUUGCUUCAUUUCUUUUUUCAAGCUCAGUUAAUGCUAUAUUCGUGGGGUCAUACGUGGAGAUCCGUGUAAUUUUUUCUUUUCAGUUUUUUUCUUUUCACAUGUUUUUUUUUGCAAUAUCUUUUCACAUGUUAUGUCACUUGACUUUGACUUGGUUAAGUCUCAUAUUGCUUAUCUCUUGAAGUCAAACUUUGUAAAAUUUCAUCAACCUUAUGUAAAAUAUCAAUAUCUAUAAUAUCAAAUAAUAUGGACAAUAUAUUUUGUGAUGGAUGCGACAUUGAUUUGGUAUUUUGACAUGAUAAAUUUCUUUCUUUCUAAAAACUUGGUCAAAUUUAGAAAGUUUGACUUAAGACCAAAUUUACAUGCAAAAUAAAAAGAAAUGGAGAGAGUAGUACUUACUACAGAUUGCAGGUUGACGCAUCAAAGUAUAUGACACUGCUGACUUCCAUGUUUAUUUGAUCAAAUAGACACUCCCUCCGUUUCAAUGUCUACAAUACAGAAUCAUUAUUUUCAAUGUCUACUAGCGUCUUCGUUCCAAAUACAGAAUCAUUAUCACUAGAAUCACCAUUAAAUAUUUUUUAUUUUUUUUAUUUUUUAGUAUUGCAGAUAUUGAUAUGUUUUGCUUUAAACUUGAUCCAACAUCAAAAUGUUUGACUUCUUAAAAAACUAAUGCACCUUGUAUUUUGAAACUGAUUGAGUAUGACAAAAACAUGUGACUCAUGACAUUGUACAAACUAACGCGACCUUUUAGUUUAAGAGUAUGGAAUACACACCAAGAACAGAUGUAGUAAAAACUUGAUGUUUCCCGAAUUGGUGGAAGCAAUAAGAGAAUUCAUAAAUGAGUGGACAUAAUAAAGCUUCAUCUCAUUUUCAGUGAAAGCUCCACCGGAGUUGGCAACUCCAAGGACAACGCUGUAAACCGGAUGACACCGUAAUCUUUUCUGGGUCAUGUCCCAUUUCGCCAUGCAUCCAACGGUUAUAAGAUGUUCAUAUACUCCACAUGAAACGUUACUGUCUGAGCUUGUUGUGUCCCCGUGGAGAAAAUCUACGCAUAUAUAACAUCCAUUUUCCAAGUAUCAUGGUCGCAUGGAUGUUCUUUCUUUUACACUUAAGGUCUCCUUUUAUUCAACAACGAGUAGCAUUACAUUGUUGACAAGAAUUUGGAUUAGCACCCAAGGCGCGUCAUUCAUCCAAGUACCAUGUGUAGAAGAUCUAGCUAAUAUAGCUAAUUCAUGUGCGGUUGCAUUAGCCUCUCUAGGACAGUGAUCAUGGAAUGAGUAAAUCAAGAGACAUGUUGUACGUAGCAAUCUUCAAAUAAAGCACUCGUGACGCCGGACGAUGAUGCGCCUUCCAGCAUUGUCGUAAUCACCUCCAUGCUAUCUAAAUUCACUUCAAGAUUGUUGCACCCAAUUGUGUGUGCAAGAUUAACCCCAUAUCUCAGUGUUGUGGCUUCGGCCGUGAAAGCGUCAAAACAAACAUCAACUCUUUGAUUUUCAGCAACAACGAUUUUUCCCAUACAAUCUCGAAUGACAGGUGCUACAGAUGCCUGGAGAGUAUCAAGGUCAAACAAUGUAUCCACAUUGAGCUUUAAAUAACCAUGGACCGGCUUGGUCCAUCCUGCAUGCUUCAUAAUUGGUUUGAGGUAGCUUGCUAAUGUGAAGUUUGCUGCCAAUUCUCUUACUGCAAGAUGAAUUUGACUCAGUGUUUGUAUCGACUGGCCAUGCAAGAGUUUCCUCUGCUCCCACACAUACCAAGAUGCAAUAACAAUAAUUUAUCGGGAUGCAUGUCCUAAAAUCAUCGCUUCUUGAUCAAGGAAGUUCAAUAAAUAUUCCAGUGUCUCCUCCCAGGACAAGCCAGAGACACAUGAUUUAUGGAUGAUAUCACCAAGUCCCGAGGGAUUUCACACUUCACUAGCCAAAGAGUAUUCAAAUAGAAGAUGUUUAACAUCCUCACUCCUCAGCCCAUAAUUUGCAAAUGGGACAACGAGGAGACACCUUUAUAUGUCUAUCAACAAGAUUUGCACGACAGGGAUUUGCCCCUUUCAAUUGCCCUCCACAAAAAAAAAAAUUACCUUGGCCGGACACUGCAGGUUCCAAACUAAAUCCCACAUACCGUUAUGCCUCGAUGCUUCAAUAUUAUUCUCAUUAGAUAUUUUAUCCAAUGUACCAUCCAUCUUUAUGAACUCUCCUAUUUUUGUUGGAUGCAAACUUUCAUAGGCAAUCAAAACAUUGUUAGUAAUUAACCGUCCCGGAACAGGGGCAUUCUUGCCGACCCAUGUGUUGUUGGUUGCUGUAAAAAAGGGUAUAGCAAAGCUUUUCAAUCUGAAAAAGAUGUUCUUCUAUGGUGGCACAACCAAUAAAAAACAUAAGUUUUCUAUAUCUUGAGAGAAUCCUGGAGAAUCUAAAUAGCUAGCGCCACUAACAUAUUUAUCUCUACUAGUCAAUGUGUACGUGCAAUGCGCGUUAAUUUGGAAGUAUAUUAAGUGCAUGUUGAUAUUAAGUAAGAUAUUAUUUGUGUGUUAUUAUGUGAUUAGCAUUAUAUUUGGCAUGAAAUUAACUGAACGCUAAACGUGUUGAGCGCUCGACAUUGAAGUGGUCUAGGUCGUCGGAUUGACAUGAUUCGAUGGCCGAGAUUAAUUGGGUCUGCCCCUUUGGGUCUUUUUAUAUUGGUAUAGAUGAAGCAUUGUUAUUUUCACCGCAAAAAAAAAAGUAUAGAUGUAAGCAAAGCCAUCUCAGCGUGUCAAAGACCCACCUUUAAGAUGCAGCCAUGCAUAGGAAAAGCUUCACCUCGACAUGCAAAUAUUAAUGAGAAUUUCCACUGUAGUAUUAUGCUAUUUACAUCUAAUAAAAUUGUACAACCAUACAGUAAUCAAACACAAUAAACCAUAUAUAUUUUCAUUUUAUUUAUUAUAAUAUUAAUCUAACUACUCAUGUUCCACCGAGACAAAUACAUUGAAAUAUAAUGCAGAACAUCCUCCCAACAAUGUGCCAGAUAUCAUCUAGUAAUCACUUGGUUUCUGAUGUUUGCCAUUCAUCAUUUAUCAAGAGCACUUAACUUUUCAUAUAUUAGGUCCGACCUCGAUUUAGUGAUGGAAACUACUUGUCAACAUAUUGUGGCAACAAUUAAUAGAAAUUGCACAUUCCAUGAGCCAGUUGUCAUAGAGCAACUUUCAAGUAAAAUGGAAUGCAACUAUCUUCUGAACUGCAGAACAAAAUAUGUACGACCGCAACCAGCGUUAUUAUAUUCGAAGUUUGAGAAGUUUUUAUGUUAUUAUGCCACUUGUGCUGCUCUGGUGCUCAAACCCUACCUCUGAUUGGUUGUAAGAUUGCUUUCAAAUUAAGCUUGUAACCAGCCAAUCCACGCUGCUAACUCAAGUCUUGUUAAUUUCAGGCAAUGCGCAUUAAUUUGGAAGUAUAUUAAGUGCAUGUUGAUAUUAAGUAAGAUAUUAUUUGUGUGUUAUUAUGUGAUUAGCAUUAUAUUUGGCAUGAAAUUAACUGAACGCUAAACGUGUUGAGCGCUCGACAUUGAAGCGGUCUAGGUCGUCGGAUUGACAUGAUUCGAUGGCCGAGAUUAAUUGGGUCUGCCCCUUUGGGUCUUUUUAUAUUGGUAUAGAUGAAGCAUUGUUAUUUUCACCGCAAAAAAAAGUAUAGAUGUAAGCAAAGCCAUCUCAGCGUGUCAAAGACCCACCUUUAAGAUGCAGCCAUGCAUAGGAAAAGCUUCACCUCGACAUGCAAAUAUUAAUGAGAAUUUCCACUGUAGUAUUAUGCUAUUUACAUCUAAUAAAAUUGUACAACCAUACAGUAAUCAAACACAAUAAACCAUAUAUAUUUUCAUUUUAUUUAUUAUAAUAUUAAUCUAACUACUCAUGUUCCAUCGAGACAAAUACAUUGAAAUAUAAUGCAGAACAUCCCCCCAACAAUGUGCCAGAUAUCAUCUAGUAAUCACUUGGUUUCUGAUGUUUGCCAUUCAUCAUUUAUCAAGAGCACUUAACUUUUCAUAUAUUAGGUCCGACCUCGAUUUAGUGAUGGAAACUACUUGUCAACAUAUUGUGGCAACAAUUAAUAGAAAUUGCACAUUCCAUGAGCCAGUUGUCAUAGAGCAACUUUCAAGUAAAAUGGAAUGCAACUAUCUUCUGAACUGCAGAACAAAAUAUGUACGACCGCAACCAGCGUUAUUAUAUUCGAAGUUUGAGAAGUUUUUAUGUUAUUAUGCCACUUGUGCUGCUCUGGUGCUCAAACCCUACCUCUGAUUGGUUGUAAGAUUGCUUUCAAAUUAAGCUUGUAACCAGCCAAUCCACGCUGCUAACUCAAGUCUUGUUGAUUUGGUACAUAUAAAUGGCCCGGAGGCGCGCCGCACGUAGAAAGGGACCAACAGAGAAUUAGGUGUGUAGGCUCUAACUUGUUUAGGCUCUAGUAGAUGAUAAAGACUACGUACUUACGCUGCAUGAAUGCAUGCAUGCUUGUCCAUGUGCCGCGUGGAACCUACGAACGAGAAGGACAUGAUCGGCCACCAGCCAAUGCAAAAUCGAUCACCAACCGAGCAAUGAGAAACGACGUGCGUGGAUCAAAUCGAUCGUUGAUCGAUGCGUGCAGAAUCGAUCAACCGAGUUUUAAUACGCCAUCUGAAAUUUCGGCGAGUUAGCCGGUCUCUCGUUGUCAGGCAUCACUUCGCCGGUCACCAGGCGAACAUGCAGCCAGAUCAUCGCCCGAGCUGGAUGGAUCAAUGCGGAUGCCUAUAUAAGCCACGCGUCGCCUGUUCCAUUCAUCCAUCCAUCCAUCCAUCGACCAGCCACUUCACACAGGCAAGCGAGUGGUAGAGGUUCAGGCAUGGCAGCUCCGAGAGCGCUCGUCCUCGCCGUCCUGCUGGCGAUCGCCGUCGCCAACGCCGAGGCGGCGUCCGUGGUCGUCGGCCUGGUCAAGUGCGCCGAUUGCACCAGGAAGAACAUGAAGGCCGAGAAAGCCUUCAAAGGUGAGCUAGCUACAUACCGUAUAUAGGUCGAUAAAUAUGAACAGUACUGUCACUCUGCAGGUGCACACUUCACACACCUAUAAAUGUAUGGAGAUCAGCUCACAGUCACUGAUGUACUAAUGGCCCUGCCACGAAAAUUUUGUCAGGUCUCCAGGUGGCAAUCAAGUGCAAGAACGUCCACGGCGACUACGAGAGCAAGGCAGUGGGUGCCCUCGACGGGACCGGCGCCUUCGGCGUGCCACUCGCCGCAGACCUCCACGGCAAUGACUGCGUCGCACAGCUCCACAGCGCCGCCUCCAACACGCCGUGCCCUGGCCAGGAGCCAUCAAAGAUCGUGCCGGUUUCGGAAGGCACCACCUUCGGCAUCGUCGCCGGUGACAACAUUGCCACGCCAUCCGCAGCAUCGCCGGAGUGUGCGUCCAUGACCCUGUGCGGGCCGAUCAAGAAGCACAUCAUCGAGCACUUCCACCACAAGCAGCCGGUGCCGCCGAAGCCGGAGCCCAAGCCCCAGCCCCACCCAGACUACAGCCCCGUGCCCAAGCCCGAGCCCAAGCCGCAGCCCCACCCAGACUACCACCCUGUCCCUCCCAUGCCCACCUAUGGAGGCGGUGGCGACGGUGGAUACCACGGACACCACUGAGUCCAGUCUACCACCGUGGUCCUGCCCAGCCAUGAAAUCUCAUCACCGGGUUCAAAGUCAAUGAGUGAUCGAUGUUGCUAUUUAUGAUCGGUUUGCAUGCGUGGAUGGAUUGCUUGGUGUUGUGCCAUUUGCUGCCUCAUUUUAGUAUUUGCACCGCAAAGUUGAGAGUUCAGAAUAACAGUUGUGAGCAACACAGGGAUCACUGUGUAUUUUGCUUUUUAAAGAUUUGUAAUUUUGGUGUAUGUUUUGUAUAAAGUUGUGGAUCAAGUAAUUUAAUCAAGUCCAUUUGAGCCAAUGGAAUUACCGCAGAUGUUGGCUUUUUUGGCUUGAUCUUGUUCUACUGUGUGUUGUGUGUGUUUAGUUCAUGUUUUGCCUAAUGUUAUAGGCUUGCUUUUACCUUUAUUUUCUUUUAAGUUUUUGGUUCAUGUAAUAACUGUGUGGCAGUUUUUUAAUGGAAGAAUAGCAAAAAUGGUAC
RNAcentral lists this long non-coding RNA (10727 nucleotides) under Triticum aestivum (bread wheat). Its description in RNAcentral is "long non-coding RNA (TAES_LNC020035)". The record is from RNAcentral. Lineage: Eukaryota; Viridiplantae; Streptophyta; Magnoliopsida; Poales; Poaceae.